This 254-nucleotide ribosomal RNA is filed under the name uncultured bacterium. Its description in RNAcentral is "partial 16S ribosomal RNA". It matches the Rfam family "Bacterial small subunit ribosomal RNA", at positions 524 to 776 of the family's 1533-position model. The record is from RNAcentral.
UACGGAGGGUGCGAGCGUUGUCCGGAAUCAUUGGGCGUAAAGGGCGCGUAGGUGGCGGGACAAGCGUGCGGUGAAAGCUCGGGGCUCAACCCCGCGUCGGCCGUGCGAACUGUUUUGCUUGAGCACUGUAGAGGCAGGCGGAAUUCCGGGUGUAGCGGUGGAAUGCGUAGAGAUCCGGAAGAACACCGGUGGCGAAGGCGGUCUGCUGGGGCAGUUGCUGACACUGAGGCGCGACAGCGUGGGGAGCAAACAGG